RNAcentral lists this transfer RNA (74 nucleotides) under Pelecanus crispus (Dalmatian pelican). It matches the Rfam family "tRNA". Rfam says of the family: Transfer RNA (tRNA) molecules are approximately 80 nucleotides in length. Their secondary structure includes four short double-helical elements and three loops (D, anti-codon, and T loops). Further hydrogen bonds mediate the characteristic L-shaped molecular structure. tRNAs have two regions of fundamental functional importance: the anti-codon, which is responsible for specific mRNA codon recognition, and the 3' end, to which the tRNAs corresponding amino acid is attached (by aminoacyl-tRNA synthetases). tRNAs cope with the degeneracy of the genetic code in two manners: having more than one tRNA (with a specific anti-codon) for a particular amino acid; and 'wobble' base-pairing, i.e. permitting non-standard base-pairing at the 3rd anti-codon position. The record is from Rfam by way of RNAcentral. Lineage: Eukaryota; Metazoa; Chordata; Aves; Pelecaniformes; Pelecanidae.
GCUGGGUUAGCUCAGUUGGUUAGAGUGUGGUGCUAAUAACACCAAGUUCACAGGUUCAAUCCCUGCUUACUGCA